Molecule: long non-coding RNA, 1036 nt
Filed under: Nicotiana benthamiana
Lineage: Eukaryota; Viridiplantae; Streptophyta; Magnoliopsida; Solanales; Solanaceae
Description: long non-coding RNA (NBEN_LNC033975)
Source: RNAcentral
AACCCUCGAAUCCCUGCCAAAGUUCUCGAAUCUUCAUCCAAAGGAAAGACUGGUCUGCCGUCCACGGCGGCGCCGGCUCCAACGGCCACCAAAAACACACCCUAGCAUCUUCUUUGCCUCCUCUACCUGAAUCUAACACUAGUUUCCCUCAAAUUAUAGUAUAAGGAUUCGAAUAUUGAUUUGAAAUUUGGCCAAAAACCCUAAUUCCUGAAUGUUUGGGGAUUUGUCAAUUUUGGGUUAUAAUAGCCUUUAAUCAUGUAUUUUCUGAUGAAAACACAUGAUUAAAGACGGUUCUAAUGCAAGUCAGAUCAGAAAGCUUCCUUUGUUCAAGUUUGAGUUAUUGCACUUCGAGGUAUUUCAUGUUUACCUUCUCUCUUAUUUUAUCCAUGAUCUUUAUUUUUAUUUUAUUUCUUUUAUUAUUCUUUUUACUCAGAGUUCGUUUCAUUUUUAAUCCGGAUUCCGGUUUAGGGUUCUAAUUUCUUCUCAUAGUCAUAUAGUUUGAUUUUGUUUUGCUAUUAGUUGUUUGACCGUUGAUUGGAUUUCAAUAAUAGGAUUGCAUGUUUAGAUGUAGCUUUGCAUUUUUCUUUUAAUUGUGUUAGUAUCAGCCCUUUUGCUUGAAUUCAGUUGAUUAAUUUGCAGUUGUGUUACUUUGAUGGUCCAUUAGUCUUAGAAUGCGUAAGGGAGAGAACUACACUGUCUCAUUCAAACUUGCAUCAUAUUGAUGUUAAUUUCAAGUUGUCUUCCUUAAAAGAAAUUGGAAUGACCUAAUGCGAGUUGUUAAUGUUCAGAAGUUUGGGUGUGUAUUUGAGGUUGUUUGGACUUUGUUUACUGGCUUUGUCUUGCUAAUAUUCCCCUCCUGAAUGAUUUGACGAUUAGCCAGUGGGAUUUAAAGUGUUUAUUACUGUUGUUUGUUGCUGCUGUGCUAACUAUCAUUUUCACUUUAUUCGAAUUCCAGGUACAUUUUCAAUGUCUAUUCAUGUAUGAAGCCUGAACAGAAUGUAUUCCCAAGUUUAAAGAUCAAUGUCCUUUAUUUUUC